UGGGGAAUAUUGGACAAUGGGCGCAAGCCUGAUCCAGCAAUGCCGCGUGUGUGAAGAAGGCCUGCGGGUUGUAAAGCACUUUAAGCAGGAAAGAAGGGCAUGAUGAUAAUACCAUCAUGCAUUGACGUUACCUGCAGAAUAAGCACCGGCUAACUCCGUGCCAGCAGCCGCGGUAAUACGGAGGGUGCGAGCGUUAAUCGGAAUUACUGGGCGUAAAGCGCGCGUAGGCGGUUUGAUAAGUCUGAUGUGAAAGCCCUGGGCUUAACCUGGGAACUGCAUUGGAUACUGUCAGACUCGAGUGUGGUAGAGGGUAGUGGAAUUUCCGGUGUAGCAGUGAAAUGCGUAGAGAUCGGAAGGAACACCAGUGGCGAAGGCGGCUACCUGGACCAACACUGACGCU
Molecule: ribosomal RNA, 400 nt
Filed under: uncultured bacterium
Lineage: Bacteria
Description: bacterial SSU rRNA
Rfam family: Bacterial small subunit ribosomal RNA
Source: RNAcentral